RNAcentral lists this ribosomal RNA (500 nucleotides) under uncultured bacterium. Its description in RNAcentral is "partial 16S ribosomal RNA". It matches the Rfam family "Bacterial small subunit ribosomal RNA", at positions 30 to 523 of the family's 1533-position model. The record is from RNAcentral.
AUUGAACGCUGGCGGCAGGCCUAACACAUGCAAGUCGAGCGGAUGACGGGAGCUUGCUCCUUGAUUCAGCGGCGGACGGGUGAGUAAUGCCUAGGAAUCUGCCUGGUAGUGGGGGACAACGUGUCGAAAGGGACGCUAAUACCGCAUACGUCCUACGGGAGAAAGCAGGGGACCUUAGGGCCUUGCGCUAUCAGAUGAGCCUAGGUCGGAUUAGCUAGUUGGUGGGGUAAUGGCUCACCAAGGCGACGAUCCGUAACUGGUCUGAGAGGAUGAUCAGUCACACUGGAACUGAGACACGGUCCAGACUCCUACGGGAGGCAGCAGUGGGGAAUAUUGGACAAUGGGCGAAAGCCCGAUCCAGCCAUGCCGCAUGUGUGAAGAAGGUCUUCGGAUUGUAAAGCACUUUAAGUUGGGAGGAAGGGCAGUAAGUUAAUACCUUGCUGUUUUGACGUUACCGACAGAAUAAGCACCGGCUAACUCUGUGCCAGCCGCCGCCGUAA